UGAAUACGAGACGCUAAGGCGUCGAAGUAGUGUAUGUCAUACUUCCAAGAAAAGCUUGCACUGUCAUAAGUAAAAAAUGCCUGUACCAUAACCGACACAGGUGGGUAGGUAGAGUAUACUAAGGGGCGCGAGAUAACUCUCUCUAAGGAACUCGGCAAAAUAACUCCGUAACUUCGGGAGAAGGAGUACCUUAUUCUAUAAGGUUGCAAUAACAAGAUCCAAGCAACUGUUUAUCAAAAACACAGGUCUCCGCUAAGUCGUAAGACGAUGUAUGGGGGCUGACGCCUGCCCAGUGCCAGAAGGUUAAAGAAGUCGGUUAGCAUUAGCGAAGCUGGUAACUGAAGCCCUGGUGAACGGCGGCCGUAACGAUAACGGUCCUAAGGUAGCGAAAUUCCUUGUCGGGUAAGUUCCGACCCGCACGAAAGGCGUAAUGAUUUGGAUACUGUCUCGGAGAGGGGCUCGGUGAAAUAGACUUGUCUGUGAAGAUGCGGACUACCUGCACCAGGACAGAAAGACCCUAUGAAGCUUUACUGUAACUUGAAAUUGAAAUUGGACUUUAUUCGCGCAGUAUAGGUGGGAGGUGUUGAUUAUAAUCUUGCGGGAUUAUUGGGGCCAUCAGUGAGAUACCACUCUUGUAAUGUUAGAUUUCUAACUUUGAAUCAUUAUCUGGUCAAAGGACAGUUUCAGGCGGGCAGUUUGACUGGGGCGGUCGCCUCCCAAACGGUAACGGAGGCGUACAAAGGUUUCCUCUGAACGGGUAGAAAUCGUAUCUAGAGUGUAAAGGCAUAAGGAAGCUUGACUGUGAGACCUACAAGUCGAACAGGGACGAAAGUCGGUCUUAGUGAUCUGACGGUACUGAGUGGAAAGGCCGUCACUCAACGGAUAAAAGUUACUCUAAGGAUAACAGGCUGAUCUCCCCCAAAGUUCACAUCGACGGGGAGGUUUGGCACCUCGAUGUCGGCUCAUCGCAUCCUGGGGCGGUAGUACGUCCCAAGGGUUGGGCUGUUCGCCCAUGAAAGCGGUACGCGAGCUGGGUUCAGAACGUCGUGAGACAGUUCGGUCCAUAUCCGGUGUAGGCGUUAGAAUAUCGAGAGGAGCCUUCUUUAGUACGAGAGGACCGAGAAGGACAUACCUCUGGUGUACCAGUUAUCGUGCCAACGGUAAACGCUGGGUAGCUAUGUAUGGAGUGGAUAACCGCUGAAAGCAUCUAAGUGGGAAGCCCACCUCAAGAUAAG
Molecule: ribosomal RNA, 1235 nt
Filed under: metagenome
Description: bacterial LSU rRNA
Rfam family: Bacterial large subunit ribosomal RNA
Source: RNAcentral